RNAcentral lists this ribosomal RNA (725 nucleotides) under uncultured fungus. RNAcentral's name for it is "SSU rRNA". It matches the Rfam family "Eukaryotic small subunit ribosomal RNA", at positions 564 to 1296 of the family's 1831-position model. Lineage: Eukaryota; Fungi. The record is from RNAcentral.
GUGCCAGCAGCCGCGGUAAUUCCAGCUCCAAUAGCGUAUAUUAAAGUUGUUGUGGUUAAAAAGCUCGUAGUUGAACCUUGGGCCUGGCUGGCCGGUCCGCCUCACCGCGUGCACUGGUCCGGCCGGGCCUUUCCCUCUGUGGAACCCCAUACCCUUCACUGGGCGUGGCGGGGAAACAGGACAUUUACUUUGAAAAAAUUAGAGUGCUCCAGGCAGGCCUAUGCUCGAAUACAUUAGCAUGGAAUAAUAAAAUAGGACGCGCGGUUCUAUUUUGUUGGUUUAUAGGACCGCCGUAAUGAUUAAUAGGGACAGUCGGGGGCAUCAGUAUUCAACUGUCAGAGGUGAAAUUCUUGGAUCAGUUGAAGACUAACUACUGCGAAAGCAUUUGCCAAGGAUGUUUUCAUUAAUCAGGAACGAAAGUUAGGGGAUCGAAGACGAUCAGAUACCGUCGUAGUCUUAACCAUAAACUAUGCCGACUAGGAAUCGGACGGUGUUAUUCAUGACCCGUUCGGCACCUUACGAGAAAUCAAAGUGCUUGGGCUCCAGGGGGAGUAUGGUCGCAAGGCUGAAACUUAAAGAAAUUGACGGAAGGGCACCACCAGGGGUGGAGCCUGCGGCUUAAUUUGACUCAGCACGGGGAAACUCACCAGGUCCAGACACAAUAAGGAUUGACAGAUUGAGAGCUCUUUCUUGAUUUUGUGGGUGGUGGUGCAUGACCGUUCUUA